GCGAACAGGAUUAGAUACCCUGGUAGUCCACGCCGUAAACGGUGGAUGCUGGAUGUGGGGACCAUUCCACGGUCUCCGUGUCGGAGCCAACGCGUUAAGCAUCCCGCCUGGGGAGUACGGCCGCAAGGCUAAAACUCAAAGAAAUUGACGGGGGCCCGCACAAGCGGCGGAGCAUGCGGAUUAAUUCGAUGCAACGCGAAGAACCUUACCUGGGCUUGACAUGUUCCCGACAGCCGUAGAGAUACGGUCUCCCUUCGGGGCGGGUUCACAGGUGGUGCAUGGUCGUCGUCAGCUCGUGUCGUGAGAUGUUGGGUUAAGUCCCGCAACGAGCGCAACCCUCGCCCUGUGUUGCCAGCACGUCGUGGUGGGAACUCACGGGGGACCGCCGGGGUCAACUCGGAGGAAGGUGGGGAUGACGUCAGAUCAUCAUGCCCCUUACGUCCAGGGCUUCACGCAUGCUACAAUGGCCGGUACAACGGGAUGCGACACUGUGAGGUGGAGCGGAUCCCUUAAAACCGGUCUCAGUUCGGAUUGGAGUCUGCAACCCGACUCCAUGAAGGCGGAGUCGCUAGUAAUCGCGGAUCAGCAACGCCGCGGUGAAUGCGUUCCCGGGCCUUGUACACACCGCCCGUCAAGUCAUGAAAGUGGGUAGCACCCGAAGCCGGUGGCCUAACCCCUUUGGGAGGAGCCGUCUAAGGUGAGACUCGUGAUUGGGACUAAGUCGUAACAAGGUAGCCGUACCGGAAGGUGCGGCUG
This 756-nucleotide ribosomal RNA is filed under the name human gut metagenome. RNAcentral's name for it is "bacterial SSU rRNA". It matches the Rfam family "Bacterial small subunit ribosomal RNA", at positions 768 to 1520 of the family's 1533-position model. The record is from RNAcentral.